UACGUAGGGUGCGAGCGUUAAUCGGAUUUACUGGGCGUAAAGCGUGCGCAGGCGGCCCGUUAAGACAGGUGUGAAAUCCCUGGGCUCAACCUAGGAAUUGCGCUUGUGACUGGCGGGCUCGAGUACGGUAGAGGGGGGUGGAAUUCCUGGUGUAGCAGUGAAAUGCGUAGAGAUCAGGAGGAACACCGAUGGCGAAGGCAGCCCCCUGGGUUGACACUGACGCUCAUGCACGAAAGCGUGGGGAGCAAACAGG
Molecule: ribosomal RNA, 253 nt
Filed under: uncultured microorganism
Description: partial 16S ribosomal RNA
Rfam family: Bacterial small subunit ribosomal RNA
Source: RNAcentral